RNAcentral lists this ribosomal RNA (1430 nucleotides) under uncultured organism. Its description in RNAcentral is "16S ribosomal RNA". It matches the Rfam family "Bacterial small subunit ribosomal RNA". The record is from RNAcentral.
UGUCGGCGUGCUUAACACAUGCAAGUCGAACGGAAAGGCCCUGCUUUUGUGGGGUGCUCGAGUGGCGAACGGGUGAGUAACACGUGAGUAACCUGCCCUUGACUUUGGGAUAACUUCAGGAAACUGGGGCUAAUACCGGAUAGGAGCUCCUGCUGCAUGGUGGGGGUUGGAAAGUUUCGGCGGUUGGGGAUGGACUCGCGGCUUAUCAGCUUGUUGGUGGGGUAGUGGCUUACCAAGGCUUUGACGGGUAGCCGGCCUGAGAGGGUGACCGGCCACAUUGGGACUGAGAUACGGCCCAGACUCCUACGGGAGGCAGCAGUGGGGAAUAUUGCACAAUGGGCGGAAGCCUGAUGCAGCAACGCCGCGUGCGGGAUGACGGCCUUCGGGUUGUAAACCGCUUUCGCCUGUGACGAAGCGUGAGUGACGGUAAUGGGUAAAGAAGCACCGGCUAACUACGUGCCAGCAGCCGCGGUGAUACGUAGGGUGCGAGCGUUGUCCGGAUUUAUUGGGCGUAAAGGGCUCGUAGGUGGUUGAUCGCGUCGGAAGUGUAAUCUUGGGGCUUAACCCUGAGCGUGCUUUCGAUACGGGUUGACUUGAGGAAGGUAGGGGAGAAUGGAAUUCUGGUGGAGCGGUGGAAUGCGCAGAUAUCAGGAGGAACACCAGUGGCGAAGGCGGUUCUCUGGGCCUUUCCUGACGCUGAGGAGCGAAAGCGUGGGGAGCGAACAGGCUUAGAUACCCUGGUAGUCCACGCUGUAAACGGUGGGUACUAGGUGUGGGGUCCAUUCCACGGGUUCCGUGCCGUAGCUAACGCUUUAAGUACCCCGCCUGGGGAGUACGGCCGCAAGGCUAAAACUCAAAGGAAUUGACGGGGCCCCGCACAAGCGGCGGAGCAUGCGGAUUAAUUCGAUGCAACGCGUAGAACCUUACCUGGGUUUGACAUGGAUCGGGAGUGCUCAGAGAUGGGUGUGCCUCUUUUGGGGUCGGUUCACAGGUGGUGCAUGGCUGUCGUCAGCUCGUGUCGUGAGAUGUUGGGUUAAGUCCCGCAACGAGCGCAACCCUUGUUCACUGUUGCCAGCACGUUAUGGUGGGGACUCAGUGGAGACCGCCGGGGUCAACUCGGAGGAAGGUGGGGAUGACGUCAAGUCAUCAUGCCCCUUAUGUCCAGGGCUUCACGCAUGCUACAAUGGCUGGUACAGAGAGUGGCGAGCCUGUGAGGGUGAGCGAAUCUCGGAAAGCCGGUCUCAGUUCGGAUUGGGGUCUGCAACUCGACCUCAUGAAGUCGGAGUCGCUAGUAAUCGCAGAUCAGCAACGCUGCGGUGAAUACGUUCCCGGGGCUUGUACACACCGCCCGUCAAGUCAUGAAAGUUGGUAACACCCGAAGCCGGUGGCCUAACCGUUGUAGGGGAGCCGUCGAGGGUGGGACUGGUGAU